CAUUAUCAAACCAUUUCAAUUUUAUUGAUAUGGUAUUGGACUUGGGAUUUGCUGGUAUUCAUUAUCAGCUAUCCUUAAAUGCAUUAGCAGAAUUGAAUAGGUUCGCAUUGACGUGAUAAUUAUCUACGCCAUUCGUUCUUACAAGUCUGCUUCUAAUAAUUUGAAUUGGGA
This 171-nucleotide unclassified non-coding RNA is filed under the name uncultured Pseudobaeospora. RNAcentral's name for it is "sequence contains ITS2". Lineage: Eukaryota; Fungi; Basidiomycota; Agaricomycetes; Agaricales; Tricholomataceae. The record is from RNAcentral.